GCUCCGGUGGUGUAGCCCGGUUUAGCAUAACGGCCUUUCGAGUCGUUGAUCGCGGGUUCAAAUCCCGCCCGGAAGG
RNAcentral lists this transfer RNA (76 nucleotides) under Crenarchaeota archaeon 13_1_20CM_2_51_8. RNAcentral's name for it is "tRNA-Glu". It matches the Rfam family "tRNA". Rfam says of the family: Transfer RNA (tRNA) molecules are approximately 80 nucleotides in length. Their secondary structure includes four short double-helical elements and three loops (D, anti-codon, and T loops). RNAcentral also lists the same sequence under 1 other name. The record is from RNAcentral. Lineage: Archaea; Thermoproteati; Thermoproteota.